CUACGGGCGGCAGCAGUGGGGAAUAUCGGGCAAUGGGCGCAAGCCUGACCCAGCAACGCCGCGUGAGGGAAGAAGGUUUUCGGAUUGUAAACCUCUGUCCUUGGGGACGAAGAAGUGACGGUACCCAAGGAGGAAGCUCCGGCUAACUACGUGCCGAGCAGCCGCGGUAAUACGUAGGGAGCAAGCGUUGUCCGGAAUUACUGGGCGUAAAGGGUGCGUAGGCGGCAUAUUAAGUCAGGUGUGAAAUACUCGGGCUCAACCCGGGGGCUGCAUUUGAAACUGAUAUGCUUGAGUGUGAGAGAGGAAAGUGGAAUUCCUAGUGUAGCGGUGGAAUGCGUAGAUAUUAGGAGGAACACCAGUGGCGAAGGCGACUUUCUGGCUCAUAACUGACGCUGAGGCACGAAAGCGUGGGGAGCAAACAGGAUUAGAUACCCUGGUAGUC
RNAcentral lists this ribosomal RNA (442 nucleotides) under uncultured bacterium. Its description in RNAcentral is "partial 16S ribosomal RNA". It matches the Rfam family "Bacterial small subunit ribosomal RNA", at positions 339 to 795 of the family's 1533-position model. The record is from RNAcentral.